UACAGAGGUCCCAAGCGUUGUUCGGAUUCACUGGGCGUAAAGGGUGCGUAGGUGGCGGACUAAGUCGGGUGUGAAAUCUCCGGGCUCAACCCGGAGGGUGCGCCCGAAACUGGUUUGCUGGAGGGUGGGAGGGGAGACUGGAAUUCUCGGUGUAGCAGUGAAAUGCGUAGAUAUCGAGAGGAACACCGGUGGCGAAGGCGAGUCUCUGGACCACUCCUGACACUGAGGCACGAAAGCCGGGGGAGCAAACAGG
Molecule: ribosomal RNA, 253 nt
Filed under: uncultured bacterium
Lineage: Bacteria
Description: partial 16S ribosomal RNA
Rfam family: Bacterial small subunit ribosomal RNA
Source: RNAcentral